CGCUAGGUACUGCUUCAUCCCGACGCCGGCCUUGUCGCAGAAGUCUAGGAUCUUGUCGUUGAGGCUCACCGCGUGGUCGACGCUGCCGUGGCCUGACGCCGACGGUGCCGACGACAGGAACCCCACCAGAGGAGGAUGGGGCCAUUGUUGCUGUCUUUAAGGAUGUUGCCGAAGACCUCCGUCGCGAACCGGUGGAUGGUGCUUCUCGGGAUGAGGAGGUUGAGCCAUGGGUGCGGAACCUCCCAGAGGCCCUGGGCCCUGAGCUUGAGCUCGGAGGAGUGCACCCUGUCCAGGAACUCGAGCCUCCUCAGGGUCGAAGUUCUUGGUCAUCUCAAGGCAGUAGAGCACCUUCCCGUCCGACUGGAAGUGGCUGGCCUGCACCGGGUCCUGCGGCUUGAACGACGUCCUCCAGUUGUUGAGGAUGCCCGUCCGGUUGAUGAUCACGAACCCCUCGAUGUAGUCGAAGGUCUCGUCCGCCGAGAUCAGCGCCUCCUGGUCCUCGGUGAAGCUCGCGAAGUCCGAGUAGAGCACCCGGAUCCACCUCACCUGCCAUCAUAUCCAAUCCAAGAGAUCAGUACAACUGAAUGAAAUGAGCGACCCAUGUUGGAGGGCGAUCCUGGCUCUGGUGAUGAUGCCGAACUGGCCCAGGCCGCCGAGGGCGCCGUAGAAGAGGUCGGAGUUCUCGUCCGGCGAGCAGGUGACCACAUCCCCUCUCCCUGCAUUUGGUGUUUAUGGGACGAUACAUCAGGGUCAUAUUUGUGAACUUUGUAGGCAUGAGGCAAGUGGGCUCUUUGUUUUGGCAGAAUGUGCGCUUCAUUUCUUGAGCAAAAGCAUUUUGCGCCCAACGACACGCACGUGAUCCAUAUUCGCAAUGUGAAGUCGUUGACCCAUUGGUGGUACACCAUCUCCAAGGUCCUCAUGAGGAUCGAGGGUGGACCAUUUGCAUUCAUACAUUGUCAUAUGAAGCUCAAAGGCAAUAGUGCGUGAAGCGGCUUAUGCCGAUUGCGACUUGAGUAUCGUUGAGUUUGGAAUCGAUGAAUUUGAAAAGCUGGUUGAACAUCCGAUUAUUUGGGAC
Long non-coding RNA from Triticum dicoccoides, 1075 nucleotides. RefSeq lists it as uncharacterized. The transcript has 6 exons. The record is from RefSeq and is a predicted model, not a curated record. Lineage: Eukaryota; Viridiplantae; Streptophyta; Magnoliopsida; Poales; Poaceae.